UUCAUGGUAUCAUAACCUGCUUCACUUAGUGGUCUUGUGUUCAAAUACUGCUCAAGCACAUGGUGAACCAGGCUCUGAUACCAUGAAGC
This 89-nucleotide microRNA precursor is filed under the name Lotus japonicus. Its description in RNAcentral is "miR1511 stem-loop (lja-MIR1511)". The record is from miRBase by way of RNAcentral. Lineage: Eukaryota; Viridiplantae; Streptophyta; Magnoliopsida; Fabales; Fabaceae.